CCCAUUGAUUAAUAAUAUUAAAAGGCUGCGGUAUUUUAACUGUACGAAGGUAGCAUAAUCAUUUGUCUUUUAAUUGAAGGCUCGUAUGAAUGGUUUGAUGAAAUAUAAACUUUCUUUUAAUUAUUUUUUUGAAUUUAAUAUUUUAGUUAAAAAGCUAAAAUAUUUUUAUAGGACGAGAAGACCCUAUAGAAGUUUACUAAUUUCAUAAAAUUAUAUAUUUUGAUUUUAAAUUAUUUUUUUAAAAGAAUGAGUUUUAUUGGGGUGAUAUUAAAAUUAAAUUAACUUUUAAUUAAUCUUUUCAUUGAUUUAUGUUUUUUUGAUCCAAAAUUUUUGAUUAAAAGAUUAACUUACCUUAGGGAUAACAGCGUAAUUUAUUUGGAGAGUUCUUAUCGAUGAAUAAGUUUGCGAC
Molecule: ribosomal RNA, 409 nt
Filed under: Metrocoris sichuanensis
Lineage: Eukaryota; Metazoa; Arthropoda; Insecta; Hemiptera; Gerridae
Description: partial 16S ribosomal RNA
Source: RNAcentral